GAGCACUCCCACCUCCUUGAGAGGGUAAGGCUCCCAGUAGACGACUGGGUUGAUAGGCCGGAUAUGGAAGCCCUGUGAGGGGUGGAGUUGACCGGUACUAAUAGGCCGAGGGCUUGUCCUC
RNAcentral lists this ribosomal RNA (121 nucleotides) under Kitasatospora sp. RG8. Its description in RNAcentral is "partial 23S ribosomal RNA". It matches the Rfam family "Bacterial large subunit ribosomal RNA", at positions 2806 to 2925 of the family's 2925-position model. The record is from RNAcentral. Lineage: Bacteria; Bacillati; Actinomycetota; Actinomycetes; Kitasatosporales; Streptomycetaceae.